RNAcentral lists this ribosomal RNA (497 nucleotides) under uncultured bacterium. Its description in RNAcentral is "partial 16S ribosomal RNA". It matches the Rfam family "Bacterial small subunit ribosomal RNA", at positions 28 to 507 of the family's 1533-position model. The record is from RNAcentral.
GAUGAACGCUGGCGGCGUGCCUAAUACAUGCAAGUCGAGCGAACAGACGAGGAGCUUGCUCCUCUGACGUUAGCGGCGGACGGGUGAGUAACACGUGGAUAACCUACCUAUAAGACUGGGAUAACUUCGGGAAACCGGAGCUAAUACCGGAUAAUAUAUUGAACUGCAUGGUUCAAUAGUGAAAGACGGUUUUGCUGUCACUUAUAGAUGGAUCCGCGCCGCAUUAGCUAGUUGGUAAGGUAACGGCUUACCAAGGCGACGAUGCGUAGCCGACCUGAGAGGGUGAUCGGCCACACUGGAACUGAGACACGGUCCAGACUCCUACGGGAGGCAGCAGUAGGGAAUCUUCCGCAAUGGGCGAAAGCCUGACGGAGCAACGCCGCGUGAGUGAUGAAGGUCUUCGGAUCGUAAAACUCUGUUAUUAGGGAAGAACAAAUGUGUAAGUAACUAUGCACGUCUUGACGGUACCUAAUCAGAAAGCCCCGGCUAACUACGUG